GUGGGGAAUCUUCCGCAAUGGACGAAAGUCUGACGGAGCAACGCCGCGUGAGUGAUGAAGGUCUUCGGAUUGUAAAGCUCUGUUAAUCGGGACGAAAGAGCCUAGUGUGAAUAAUGCUAGGAAGUGACGGUACCGGAAUAGAAAGCCACGGCUAACUACGUGCCAGCAGCCGCGGUAAUACGUAGGUGGCAAGCGUUGUCCGGAAUUAUUGGGCGUAAAGCGCGCGCAGGCGGAUCUGCCAGUCUGUCUUAAAAGUUCGGGGCGUAACCCCGUGAUGGGAUGGAAACUACAGAUCUAGAGUAUCGGAGAGGAAAGUGGAAUACCUAGUGUAGCGGUGAAAUGCGUAGAUAUUAGGAGGAACACCAGUGGCGAAGGCGACUUUCUGGACUGUAACUGACGCUGAGGCUCGAAAGCCAGGGGAGCGAACGGGAUCAGAAACCCGGGUAGUCC
This 450-nucleotide ribosomal RNA is filed under the name uncultured bacterium. RNAcentral's name for it is "partial 16S ribosomal RNA". It matches the Rfam family "Bacterial small subunit ribosomal RNA", at positions 354 to 796 of the family's 1533-position model. The record is from RNAcentral.